UAGAGUUUGAUCCUGGCUCAGGAUCAACGCUGGCGGCGUGCAUGAGACAUGCAAGUCGAACGGACACCACGGGGCUUGCUCUGUGGUGUUAGUGGCGGACGGCUGAGUAACGCGUAGGUGACCUGCCCCGAAGUGGGGAAUAACUGCCCGAAAGGGUGGCUAAUACCGCAUGUGGUGAUGCGUUCGAUCGCAUCAGUAAAGCCGCAAGGCGCUUCGGGAGGGGCCUGCGUCCGAUUAGCUCGUUGGUGGGGUAACGGCUCACCAAGGCGACGAUCGGUAGGUGGUCUGAGAGGACGAUCACCCAGACUGGGACUGAGACACGGCCCAGACUCCUACGGGAGGCAGCAGUCGGGAAUUUUGCGCAAUGGACGAAAGUCUGACGCAGCAACGCCGCGUGAGGGAUGACGGCCUUCGGGUUGUAAACCUCUUUUGUCAGGGAAGAUGAUGACGGUACCUGGCGAGUAAGCCACGGCUAACUACGUGCCACCCGCCGCGGUAAUACA
RNAcentral lists this ribosomal RNA (503 nucleotides) under uncultured bacterium. RNAcentral describes it as "bacterial SSU rRNA". It matches the Rfam family "Bacterial small subunit ribosomal RNA", at positions 1 to 527 of the family's 1533-position model. The record is from RNAcentral.